AUUGAACGCUGGCGGCGUGCUUAACACAUGCAAGUCGUGCGGUAACAGGCGUAGCAAUACGUGCUGACGAGCGGCGAACGGGUGCGUAAUACAUGGGAAUCUGCCUUUUAGUGGGGAAUAACCCGGCGAAAGCCGGGCUAAUGCCGCAUAAGAUCUUCGGAUGAAAGCGGGGGAUCGUAAGACCUCGCGCUGAAGGAUGAGCCCAUGCCGGAUUAGCUAGUGGUGAGGUAACGGCUCACCAAGGCGACGAUCCGUAGCUGGUCUGAGAGGACGGCCAGCCACACUGGGACUGAGACACGGCCCAGACUCCUACGGGAGGCAGCAGUGGGAAUAUUGGACAAUGGGGAAACCCUGAUCCAGCGACGCCGCGUGUGUGAAGAAGGCCUGCGGGUUGUAAAGC
RNAcentral lists this ribosomal RNA (400 nucleotides) under uncultured bacterium. Its description in RNAcentral is "bacterial SSU rRNA". It matches the Rfam family "Bacterial small subunit ribosomal RNA", at positions 29 to 431 of the family's 1533-position model. The record is from RNAcentral.